CUACACAUGACAGUCGAACGAGAAGGGUAGCAAUACCUGAGUAAAGUGGCGCACGGGUGAGUAACACGUGACUAACCUACCUUUUAGUGGGGGAUAACCUAGGGAAACCUGGGCUAAUACCGCAUAAUACCUAUGGGUCAAAGCAGCAAUGCGCUGAAAGAGGGGGUCGCGGUCGAUUAGUUAGUUGGCAGGGUAAUGGCCUACCAAGACUGUGAUCGAUAUCCGGCCUGAGAGGGCGCACGGACACACUGGAACUGAAACACGGUCCAGACUCCUACGGGAGGCAGCAGUGGGGAAUUUUGCGCAAUGGGGGAAACCCUGACGCAGCAACGCCGCGUGGAGGAUGAAGUCCCUUGGGACGUAAACUCCUUUCGAUCGGGACGAUAAUGACGGUACCGGAAGAAGAAGCCCCGGCUAACUUCGUGCCAGCAGCCGCGGUAAUACGAGGGGGGCAAGCGUUGUUCGGAAUUAUUGGGCGUAAAGGGUGCGUAGGUGGUUCGGCAAGUCUUGUGUGAAAUCUUCAGGCUCAACUUGAAGUCUGCACAAGAAACUGCCGGGCUUGAGUAUGGGAGAGGUGAGUGGAAUUUCCGGUGUAGCGGUGAAAUGCGUAGAUAUCGGAAGGAACACCUGUGGCGAAAGCGGCUCACUGGACCAUUACUGACACUGAGGCACGAAAGCUAGGGGAGCAAACAGGAUUAGAUACCCUGGUAGUCCUAGCCCUAAACGAUGAUCGCUUGGUGUGGCGGUAUCACCCUGCGUGCCGUACUACGCGUAAGCGAUCGCUGGGGGAGUACGUCGCAGCUGAACUCAAGGAUUGACGG
Molecule: ribosomal RNA, 821 nt
Filed under: uncultured Acidobacterium sp.
Lineage: Bacteria; Pseudomonadati; Acidobacteriota; Terriglobia; Terriglobales; Acidobacteriaceae
Description: bacterial SSU rRNA
Rfam family: Bacterial small subunit ribosomal RNA
Source: RNAcentral